Molecule: small nuclear RNA, 104 nt
Organism: Meriones unguiculatus (Mongolian gerbil)
Lineage: Eukaryota; Metazoa; Chordata; Mammalia; Rodentia; Muridae
Source: Ensembl
GUGCUCACUUUUGCAGGACAUGUACUAACAGCAGAACAGGGUAGAGAUUAGCACAGCCCCUGUGCAAUGAUGACACCAAAAGUCAUGAAGCUUCUGUAUUUUUA